This 638-nucleotide ribosomal RNA is filed under the name Bacillus pumilus. RNAcentral describes it as "bacterial SSU rRNA". It matches the Rfam family "Bacterial small subunit ribosomal RNA", at positions 557 to 1195 of the family's 1533-position model. The record is from RNAcentral. Lineage: Bacteria; Bacillati; Bacillota; Bacilli; Caryophanales; Bacillaceae.
GGCGUAAAGGGCUCGCAGGCGGUUUCUUAAGUCUGAUGUGAAAGCCCCCGGCUCAACCGGGGAGGGUCAUUGGAAACUGGGAAACUUGAGUGCAGAAGAGGAGAGUGGAAUUCCACGUGUAGCGGUGAAAUGCGUAGAGAUGUGGAGGAACACCAGUGGCGAAGGCGACUCUCUGGUCUGUAACUGACGCUGAGGAGCGAAAGCGUGGGGAGCGAACAGGAUUAGAUACCCUGGUAGUCCACGCCGUAAACGAUGAGUGCUAAGUGUUAGGGGGUUUCCGCCCCUUAGUGCUGCAGCUAACGCAUUAAGCACUCCGCCUGGGGAGUACGGUCGCAAGACUGAAACUCAAAGGAAUUGACGGGGGCCCGCACAAGCGGUGGAGCAUGUGGUUUAAUUCGAAGCAACGCGAAGAACCUUACCAGGUCUUGACAUCCUCUGACAACCCUAGAGAUAGGGCUUUCCCUUCGGGGACAGAGUGACAGGUGGUGCAUGGUUGUCGUCAGCUCGUGUCGUGAGAUGUUGGGUUAAGUCCCGCAACGAGCGCAACCCUUGAUCUUAGUUGCCAGCAUUCAGUUGGGCACUCUAAGGUGACUGCCGGUGACAAACCGGAGGAAGGUGGGGAUGACGUCAAAUCAUCA